GAUGAACGCUGGCGGCGUGCCUAAUACAUGCAAGUCGAGCGAACAGACGAGGAGCUUGCUCCUCUGACGUUAGCGGCGGACGGGUGAGUAACACGUGGAUAACCUACCUAUAAUACUGGGAUAACUUCGGGAAACCGGAGCUAAUACCGGAUAAUAUCUUGAACCGCAUGGUUCAAUAGUGAAAGACGGUUUUGCUGUCACUUAUAGAUGGAUCCGCGCCGCAUUAGCUAGUUGGUAAGGUAACGGCCUACCAAGGCAACGAUGCGUAGCCGACCUGAGAGGGUGAUCGGCCACACUAGAGCUGAGACACGGACCAGACUCCUACGGGAGGCAGCAGUAGGGAAUGUGACGCAAUGGGCGAAAGCAUGACGGAGCAACGCGGCGUGAGUGAGGAAGGUCUUCGGAUCGUAAAACUCGGUUAUUAGGGAAGAACAAAUGUGUAAGUAACUAUGCACGUCUUGACGGUACCUAAUCAGAAAGCCACGGCUAACUACGUG
Molecule: ribosomal RNA, 497 nt
Filed under: uncultured bacterium
Lineage: Bacteria
Description: partial 16S ribosomal RNA
Rfam family: Bacterial small subunit ribosomal RNA
Source: RNAcentral